RNAcentral lists this transfer RNA (62 nucleotides) under Azygia robusta. RNAcentral describes it as "tRNA-Ser". The record is from RNAcentral. Lineage: Eukaryota; Metazoa; Platyhelminthes; Trematoda; Azygiida; Azygiidae.
GUAGGUGUGUUGCCGGUUUGAUUUGAAAUCAAAUGUUUCGCUAUUGAUUUGUGACGCGUGUU